Molecule: ribosomal RNA, 465 nt
Filed under: Vreelandella stevensii
Lineage: Bacteria; Pseudomonadati; Pseudomonadota; Gammaproteobacteria; Oceanospirillales; Halomonadaceae
Description: partial 16S ribosomal RNA
Rfam family: Bacterial small subunit ribosomal RNA
Source: RNAcentral
CCUACGGGUGGCAGCUGUGGGGAAUAUUGGACAAUGGGCGAAAGCCUGAUCCAGCCAUGCCGCGUGUGUGAAGAAGGCCUUCGGGUUGUAAAGCACUUUCAGUGGGGAAGAAAGCCUUGGGGCUAAUACCCUCGAGGAAGGACAUCACCCACAGAAGAAGCACCGGCUAACUCCGUGCCAGCAGCCGCGGUAAUACGGAGGGUGCGAGCGUUAAUCGGAAUUACUGGGCGUAAAGCGCGCGUAGGCGGUCUGAUAAGCCGGUUGUGAAAGCCCCGGGCUCAACCUGGGAACGGCAUCCGGAACUGUCAGGCUAGAGUGCAGGAGAGGAAGGUAGAAUUCCCGGUGUAGCGGUGAAAUGCGUAGAGAUCGGGAGGAAUACCAGUGGCGAAGGCGGCCUUCUGGACUGACACUGACGCUGAGGUGCGAAAGCGUGGGUAGCAAACAGGAUUAGAUACCCGUGUAGUC